CAAACAAUAGUCUAAAUUAGGAUCCUAGCUUUGGGAGUUAGGGGCGGGGGUUAAA
This 55-nucleotide transfer RNA is filed under the name Melanochromis auratus. RNAcentral's name for it is "partial tRNA-Pro". RNAcentral also lists the same sequence under 7 other names. Lineage: Eukaryota; Metazoa; Chordata; Actinopteri; Cichliformes; Cichlidae. The record is from RNAcentral.